UUUUUUUUUUUUUUUUUUUUUUUUGAUUAAAGAAGUCUGUCCAAUGCAAUUCACUGGACACGAACUCCGCUGACAUGGGAAGGCCCACUCCAGAUCCAUAAGCCAAGGUUCCACAUUCAGAUGAGACACUUCGUGAUAUCCUCCCUCCGCAGGGCUGUUUGAUGGGGCAAGCUGGGCUCCCAGGCUGUGUCCACCCCUCAUCCUUGAGCCAACCAGGAGGGAGUCCACGGAUGUUUCAGCUCAUAUAGCAGAAGAGAUGAAACUCAGGUUUGGUGUACCCUGAAAACCAAGCCAGAGUUUUAUCUGACUCUCCUGACUCUGGAUCCAGUGCUCUGUUUAUACAUCUCGCCCUGCCAUUGCCUGUGUAGCCUAGGGAUUCCUACCUUAUAGAGUUGCAGCAGAGGCCUAUGAGAGGGCUCAGUGUGGGUAAAGGUGCUUGUUACCAACUCUGGUGACUGAGUUUGAUCCCCUGAACCCACAUGUUGAGAGGAAGAGAACUGGCUCCCAUGAAUUGACCUCUUAGAUACCUGCACACUGUGGAACAAACAUGCGCCCACAUGUAUGUACACGAACACACACACACACACAUGCUACUCUUGCAGAGGACCCGAGUUUAACCUCAGCACGCAAAUAAAGAGCCUCAUAACUGCCUGUGACUCCAGCUCCAUGGGAUCUGAAGCCUUCAUCUGGACUCCAGGGACACCCUUGUACACACACACACACACACACACACACACACACACACCCUUCAUCUGGACUCCAGGGACACCCUUGUACACACACACACACACACACACACACACACACACACACACGACCAGGGUUCAAUUCCCAGCACUCGCAAAUAAAGAGCCUCAUAACUGCCUGUGACUCCAGCUCCAUGGGAUCUGAAGCCUUCAUCUGGACUCCAGGGACACCCUUGUACACACACACACACACACACACGACCAGGGUUCAAUUCCCAGCACUCCCGUGGCACCCACCCCUAACUCCAGAUUCAGAUAGUAUGAUGCUCUUUUCUGGUCUCUAAAUUUAGGCACCAUAUACGUGUAGUGCAAGGACAGACAGGUAGACAAAAGGCCCACAGAUAAAAUGAAAAAAAAAAAAAAAAACUAAAUUGCAAACCCUCCAAAACAGCUGCACAGAAAUAAAAUUCACCGAGCUAGUUGCAAGAAACUUGUGACUUCUGGUAGUUACCAGGUCUGGUCACAUGAGGGUGCUGCUGCCUAAACCAGACACUCCGGAGUCUUCAGGGCCUGCCUUUCAAGAUCUGGAAGUAGAGUGAGGUUUGUUUCUUCUUCAUUCCUCCCCAGGAAGGAAGUGUGCAUGCCAGACCUUCACCAUCUGGGGGUGGGAAUCCAAGCUCACACAUCUGGCUCAGAUCCAGUUUGGAUUUGCUCUAUGUGACCCCUGUGAGGAGCCUCUGCCGUUUCCCCACUUGUCACCUGGUGGGGCCUGAGAAGAGCACUCGCAGCUCCAAGGUAGCCCUUGGGGGGUCCUGGCCCCAGGGGACUUACCCAAGCUCCCAAACAGCACAGCCCAAACCUCCAAGUGUUUUCGUAACCACGAGCUUCAUUGCCCCCGCUCCGUGAGUCUCUGUAGCUUUCUCCUCCUCCUGUGCAAAAUGGGAGGAGAAAAACUACUUCACUGGACAUAUGGAAGCCCCUGACCCUGAGCUGGGCGCACAUCUGGAAGAGAACACUACCCCUCACUUCCCUAGCUGUACAGAGGCACUCAGUUUCUUUGCUAGGGUGACUGUCACAUCUCCAAAACUGGGCCACUUAAUGGAGACAGUGGAGCUUUACCAAGCAACUCACUUGGGGGCCCCAAGGGUCCUGCCUGGUGGUGCUCUCCCCUUGAACCAAAGUACACAGUGAUGCAGAUCAUAAGGUCACAUGUGGCACUGUGGAAGUUGUACCUGGCACUCUGUGGGCAGAGGCUCCAGACACCUGGGAGAAACCCAGCCCCAUUGCUACCCACUCCAGCUGCUCACUCCCUGGCCCCUGAGAGGUAUCUCAACCUGUCGCUCCGUUUCAGGCAGAGAGUAACUCUCAAUCAGUUGCCAGCCUCCUGUGGUAGUGGUGGGAUCCACCUCUGUGCCAUCACUUGGAUUCUGAAUAUCAGGAUGGCUGCAGGACUCAACCACAAGCCUGUCCCCUGUUGCCAGGUUCCCCUGCCAACCCCCAUCUAGGCAAGGAGGACAAAAGUCUGCUGGUGACAGAGCAGGACGGCCCUCACCUGAGGGUAGCUACAAGUUACUGCUUCCCUGUCACCUUACGCAGCAGACUUCUGCCUCACCCUGGGGUGGGGGUUGGAGUCAACAGUGGCAGGGCUGGAUGCCAGUUUCACAGGAUCGCCCCAAACCUAAGAUGUACUAAUCUCAAACAGCAGCUGUGCCGAGAGAGCAUGGACAACAGUCGAGCCACGCAGUCCAGGGGGGAGGCAGGAUCUGCAGCUCUCAGAUCCAGUCUCAAGAUGGGAAGCUCCGGUGUGCUAUGGAAGGAGAAGCCUCUGAGGUAACGCCCUUCCCUCCUUCUCUCUCCCCUUCUCCCUUUUUCUUCUCCCCUCCCUCUCUUGCCCCCUCAUUUCCUGUCUUUUCUCUCUUCUUCCUCGUAGUCCUUUCUCCUUUCCCAUCUCCCUCCUCCUGCCUUCUUCCCCAGUCAGUCCUUGGGUCCCCAACACAGGAAAGAGAUCAGGUGUGAGCCUGGGUUAGGCCUACCUUCCCCACAAGCCUUCCUAGUUCUGUGACCUCAGCCAGGGUCUCAGGCAGAGGUGACCAGGUCCUAAGACUUUACAGAUCAGGGGCAGCUGGUAAGACGUGGACAAGGCUACCAGAUAACCUGAGAGGGGACCCCAGGAUGAAGAGACAUCCGGUCCCCAGCUCAGCUAUAGACUGUGUGGCAAGGACAAUUGCCAUCUGAAGAGGAGUUACAAUGACCAGUCACACCACACCUUCAGGAGAUGGGGCCCGUUCUGGUCUGCAGGUCUGGAACCCUCAUGUGCCUUCCCGCAGCUCUGGCAGCUCUGGCCCAGAUUCUUUGUGCUGCCAAGGGACCGGUUGGAGUCUUGGGGCUUCUACUGGUCCAUCCACGGCCAUCCCAGACAUGAAGACUCGGACUUUUUUCUCCACAUGUCCAUGGACCUGAGGGACAAUUGGGCACUGUGGCUACCAGCUGCUGCCCAUGCUGGAUUGCCACAUGAGGGCAAAGGAUGACCUCUGAGCCUCUCCAAGUUCUGCAAAGAUAAUUCUGGUUCCUCCCUGUCCUCCUAGGAUCCUGUUUCAGUUCCUACACGUGUGUGUGUGUGGGGUCAUUGACUCCUCAGCCUUGUUUCACCAAGCCUUUCCCAGAAGUAAAUCUUGAUGCUGACCUCCGUCCUGACUCUUGGGGUAAAAGAGAAGUUUGAGUAGGAGAGGGGAGGGGCUGAAAAAAUGCAGGAGAUGCUUGUGAGGACCCCCUGUCCCAAGGUGACCAUCCAGUACUGAGGUUACACAAUGGUGACGCACGCCUUUGAU
Mus musculus (house mouse) is the source of this 3514-nucleotide long non-coding RNA. RefSeq annotates it as predicted gene 12972. Lineage: Eukaryota; Metazoa; Chordata; Mammalia; Rodentia; Muridae. The transcript is spliced from 4 exons. The record is from RefSeq and is a predicted model, not a curated record.